AAAUUUUAAGUUUAACAAUUUACUUUAUUCAUAUUAAGCAAUUCAAUAUGAAACUGGAUUACAUUUAUCUUAGACAGAACAUCUUAUCUAAUUUGAAAUUGAUAAAUAGGCCUAUAUUUUAUUGUUUCGUAUCGUAUCGUACCGUGCCUCCUCUUAAUAUUGAAACUUAUUAAGGUGGUGAGCUUUGGGACUGCCCCGCCCCGAAUCUUCUAAUGAGUAACCGACUUUCGACGAUGAGGAUUUUACUUGCGAGAAAAUACUAAUUAGAUGUGCACUUAUCGAAUGACGUGAUAUCGUUUCAUCCCGCUUCAUUGUGUUUAUAUUGAGGAGCAAGUACAUUACGAAGCUUAGAAUCGAUAUGAGAUUCCAGUCAGCCAGAAAUAUGACAUCUGCUGUUCACUCAUAAAUAUAAGCUUAGUUGACAUUAUUUGCCAUUCAUUAUCUGUCCUCAUAACUACUUUAAUGGGUUCCUUUUUAUAUCCGAUUUAAAUAAGGUAGCAAAGUCCAACCUAUGACCCAUUUGUUUACACCCACUGACCUGACAAAGCCCUGGUCGGAAAUGAAAAAAAAACUCUUCCGAAGAAUUGUCAGCGAGAAAAGAAGUCCAAAGCCCCAGAAACACAAUAUCGAUUUAUAUUUUCAAUUCAUCCGAUAACGCGACCUUCUCCAUACGAAUCUGGACUCAGUCCCGCUGUGAACAAAGAACGGCAUGGCGAUGCGUGACAAAUACUAGUCGAUUUCUUUGUUUGGUUGUCAGGGCGCGGACAUUGUAACUAAACUGGCUUCUCGUUCAACAUCGACCUCACACACAGGCUAGUCCCUGGGAAAACACACUAGACAUACGUAAGCAAUGACUUGUGUAUGGAUGGAUGUGACGCGUUUCUAAAUUUAGAACAAUGCGAAAGGCUCGCUUGUUGAAAUCGGAAGUACUACACACAUACGGUUGGAUUUUUUGCAGUUUCUUUCGUGUUUACCUGCAUGUUUUGAGGUCAUUUAAGGUAUGUUUGCAUCAAAUACACAUGUAAAGUGUUAGCUGUAGCUAUUGAAAGUAUUUUUGGUGAUUCGUAUUGUUCGUUUGUGGAUUGUUAGCAGUCGAGCCUAGCGCGAGGCGUUAGGCCAGUCAACGCACUGUCAUUACCGAGAUUUGACGACCAUGCACUGUACCGUCAAAAACAAUAACAGCCGCGACCAGACUAAAGCUUGAAAUAUUUCGUUGCGCAGUUCCAUCGAAAUUUUUGUUCGUGUCCCAGCAAGCAGUUCACUAGUUACUGAUUUACCACGCGUGAAGUAAGUCGUGAUUACGGGUGAAUAGAGGUGUUCCAGCAUCAGUAUGAUGCAUUACCACGCCGCCAUGAAGAACGCACCAGUAAUACCCACAGUGCAACAGGAACCCAUACCCAGCCCGGGAGUAGCAGUUUGGCGACCAGGUACGUUUUGUUACAAUAUUUGAUGCAUCCAUUGUCAUUCUGGCAAUGAAUAAUGCAAAGUUUAUUUUGUUUUUCUAUAGUCGCAUGAACGCUGCUUUUUAUUUUUCAUCUUGGCAUUGCUAUUUUCACACCGUUUACAUUUUAAUUAUCUAGAAAAUUGAACACACAUCUCUCAGUUUGCAUAAAAAAGCAAGGUUUGAAAAGAACAGGUACGCAGAAUGCGUUUUUUUUUUAUUUCGUAAAAUUAUGCAGAAAUCAAGGUACGCACAUUAUAGAAGACCCGAGCGUAUUAAUUACACUCUGUUCAUUAAUGACCACAGCACAGUCCAUUACGAUAUAGCUCGAGCCUCUACCUCCCAUGCCAUUGGUUGCUCUCCCGUCGCAUAAUGUUAUUCGUAUGACAAAGAGUACAUGACUAAAUUAUGCGUAUCUCAUGAAUGUUAAUCUGACGAGACUUUCCAAGUCGUUGCUGAAUCCCGUAAAUUUCUACAUCACUACUUGUUCAUCUCUUCUCCCUCCGAGCUUUGCAAUGA
Molecule: long non-coding RNA, 1960 nt
Organism: Anneissia japonica
Lineage: Eukaryota; Metazoa; Echinodermata; Crinoidea; Comatulida; Comatulidae
Exons: 3
Source: RefSeq, a predicted model, not a curated record